UAAGGAAUCUUCCACAAUGGGCGCAAGCCUGAUGGAGCAACACCGCGUGAGUGAAGAAGGGUUUCGGCUCGUAAAGCUCUGUUGUUAAAGAAGAACACGUAUGAGAGUAACUGUUCAUACGUUGACGGUAUUUAACCAGAAAGUCACGGCUAACUACGUGCCAGCAGCCGCGGUAAUACGUAGGUGGCAAGCGUUAUCCGGAUUUAUUGGGCGUAAAGAGAGUGCAGGCGGUUUUCUAAGUCUGAUGUGAAAGCCUUCGGCUUAACCGGAGAAGUGCAUCGGAAACUGGAUAACUUGAGUGCAGAAGAGGGUAGUGGAACUCCAUGUGUAGCGGUGGAAUGCGUAGAUAUAUGGAAGAACACCAGUGGCGAAGGCGGCUACCUGGUCUGCAACUGACGCUGAGACUCGAAAGCAUGGGUAGCGAACAGGAUUAGAUACCCUGGUAGUCCAUGCCGUAAACGAUGAGUGCUAGGUGUUGGAGGGUUUCCGCCCUUCAGUGCCGGAGCUAACGCAUUAAGCACUCCGCCUGGGGAGUACGACCGCAAGGUUG
Molecule: ribosomal RNA, 550 nt
Filed under: uncultured bacterium
Lineage: Bacteria
Description: bacterial SSU rRNA
Rfam family: Bacterial small subunit ribosomal RNA
Source: RNAcentral